This 468-nucleotide ribosomal RNA is filed under the name uncultured bacterium. RNAcentral describes it as "partial 16S ribosomal RNA". It matches the Rfam family "Bacterial small subunit ribosomal RNA", at positions 28 to 507 of the family's 1533-position model. The record is from RNAcentral.
GACGAACGCUGGCGGCGUGUUUAACACAUGCAAGUCGAACGGAAAGGCCCUGCUUUUGUGGGGUGCUCGAGUGGCGAACGGGUGAGUAACACGUGAGUAACCUGCCCUUGACUUUGGGAUAACUUCAGGAAACUGGGGCUAAUACCGGAUAGGAGCUCCUGCUGCAUGGUGGGGGUUGGAAAGUUUCGGCGGUUGGGGAUGGACUCGCGGCUUAUCAGCUUGUUGGUGGGGUAGUGGCUUACCAAGGCUUUGACGGGUAGCCGGCCUGAGAGGGUGACCGGCCACAUUGGGCCUGAGAUACGGCCCAGAAUCCUACGGGAGGCAGCAGUGGGGAAUAUUGCACAAUGGGCGGAAGCCUGAUGCAGCAACGCCGCGUGCGGGAUGACGGCCUUCGGGUUGUAAACCGCUUUCGCCUGUGACGAAGCGUGAGUGACGGUAAUGGGUAAAGAAGCACCGGCUAACUACGUG